CCACAGCAAUGCAGGAUCCAAGCUAAGUCUGUGACCUACAUCACAACUCACAGCAACACCGGAUCCUUAAUCCAAUAAACAAGGCCAGGGAUCGAACCUGUGUCCUCACGGAUCCUAGUUGGGUUGGUUAACUGCUGAGCCACAACGGGAAUUCCUACAGUUUUCUUCUUGAUACUGCCUUUAUUUAAACUUAGGCAUCAAUGGUAUAUCUGCUUGGAAAAAAGUGUUAAGUUUUCUUUCAUUUUGAAUCUUCUAAAAUAAAAGAUUUUAUGUUCUAAGUCUUCCAAAUACAGACUACCUGGUCUCUGAAUAUUUUGUGGGAACACCCUGUGAAAACAUCUGGACAAGGUACUUUUUUUGGUAAGACGAUUCUUUUAAAACUUGAUUUCUUGUAUGGGAAUUGGUCUUGUCUUCUAACUCCACUGGGGUCAAUGUCUGUACACUGUACACCAACAAAUGGCCCAAUCCACCUAAGUUUUAAAAUUUAUUCAUAUAGAGACCAUAAACAGUCUCUUGUGAUUCUUUAAAAUAUCCUCUUUUUUUUCUUUUUAUGUCUUGACUUGUGGUAUAUAUAAGUUUCUGGGCUACAGGUUGAAUGGGAGCUGCAGCUGGGACCUAUGCCAUAGCCAUGGCAAUACCAGAUCUCAGUUGUAUCUGUGACAUACAUCACGGCUCAUGGCAAUGCCAGAUCCUUAACCAACUGAGAGAGCCCAGGGAUCAAACCCACAUUCUCACAAACACAUAUUCUUUGAUGAUUACAGAUGUAGAAAUUUGCAAAAACAAACAAAACAUACUGGCAAACUGAAACCAACAACACAUAAAAAUGACUAUACAACAUGACCCAGUGAGAUUCAUCUCAGGUUCACAAGGGUGGUUCAACAAAUGCAAAUCAGUCAACAUCAUACACCACAUUAACAAAUCAAAGUAAAAAACCACAUGAUCACCUCAAAAGAUGCAGAAAAAGGAUCUGACAAAAUCCAAUUCCCAUUCAUGAAAAGAAACAUCUUUCCAAAACAGGUAUAGAGGGACUAUAUCUCAACAUAAUAAACUCUAUUUAUGACAAAACUACAGCUGACAUAAUAUUCAAUGGAGAAAAGCUGAAAGUCUUCCCAUUAAAAUCUGGACAAGACAAGGAUAUCCACUCUCACCACUGUUAUUCAACAUGGUAUUGGAAAUCCUAGCCACAGCAAUCAGACUAACAAAAGAAACAAAAGCUAUUCAAAUUGGACAAGAAGAGGUAAAAUUGUCACUGUAUGCAGAUAACAUGAUACUACAGAUAGAAAUCCCUAAGGACUCCAGACAAAAACUACUUGAUCUAAUGAAUGAAUUAAGCAAAGUAUGAGGAUACAAGAUUAACAUUCAGAAAUGGGUUGCAUUUCUGUAUACUAACAAUAAAUACUAGAAAAUAAGUAUAAAAACAUACCUGUUAGGAGUUCUCGCUAUGGCUCAGAGGCUUAAAAACCCAACUAGUAUCCGUGAGACUAUGGCUUCAAUCCCUGGCCUCACUCAGUGGGUUAAGGAUCCGUCACUGCCAUGAAAUCUGGUGCAGGUCACAUAUGUGACUCAGAUCUGCCAUUGCUGUGGCUGAGGCAUAGGUCGGCAGCUGCAGCUCCGAUUCAACCCCAAGCCUAGGGACUUCCAUAUACCACAGGUGCGGCUGAAAGGAAAAACAAAAAAAACAUUUAAAACUGCAUCCAAAAAAAUUAAAAAAUUAAAAACCAGGAAUAAAUCUGACAAAGGAAGUAAAAGACUUAACAUCCUAGGAACUAUAAAGCAUUGAUAAAAGAAUUUAAAGAGGAUUAAAAGAAAUGGAGAUAUCCCAUGCUCUUGGAUUAGAAGAUUUAAUAUUUUUAAAAUGGCCAUACUACCCAAAACAAUCUACAUAUUUAAAUGUGAUCUCCUAUCAAAUUACCCAUGACAUUUUUCAGAGAACUAAAACAAAUAAUCAAAAAAUGUAUAUGGAUCUCAAAAGACCCAGUCAUGCCAAAGCGCAACUGAGGAAAAAAGAACAAAGCAGGAGGCAUAACUCUCCCAGACUUCAGACAAUAUUACAAAGCUACAGUAAUCAAGACAGUGUGGUAAUGCUACAAAAACAGAUGUACAGACCAACGGAAGAGAAUAAAGAACAUCCAAAUAAACCCAGACACCUACAGUCAAUUAAUCUUUGGCAAAGGAGGCAAGACUCUAUCAUGGGAAAAAGACAGUCUCUUCAGAAAGUGGCCCUGGAAAAGGUAGACAGCUGCAUGUAACUCAAUGAACUAGAACACACUCUCAAGGCAUCCUAAAAAUAAACUCAAAGUGGCUUAAAGACUUAAACCUAAGACAUGACACCAUAAAACUCCAAGAGAACUUACGUAAAACAUUCUUGGCGGAGGACUGACAUGGCAGAGGAGUAAGAUGUCACGCUCACCUUCUCACAAACACAUCAAAAAAACAUAUCUUACCUGUAAAACAACUCGCACAGAAUAUAUACUGAAUGCUGGCAGAAGAACUUAAACUGCCAAAAAGACAAGAAUCUCUUGACAUAACUGGGUAGAAGAAAAGAAAAAUAGAAGGAAUUGGGAUGGGACUACUAGCAUUCCUGAGAGGGAGCUGUGAAAGAGAAAAGGAACACACAUCUUGGGAAGCCACCUAACUGACGGGGAGAUCAGGCGAGGAGACAGAAUGACCUCAAAGUCUCCAAGAAAAGCACAGCAGCUGGACUAAGGAGGGCAAAGUAGAGAGAGAGCCACACAGACCAUGUGAACCCCCGACCCAGACACCACAGCCUGAGACAGUCCAGCAGGAGCUAGGCACUGAGACUAAGGCUCUGGAGGUCAGUCCCAGGAAGAGGACUAGGAGUGGAACUCCACGGCAGAGGAAAACUGGGAGAAGGUCUGGGCCCACAGGUGAAGCAAGGUGCCAUUGAUGCGGAGGGCAAGAGAAGGGGUGGACAGACAUAGGAAUCUCACUGCACAUGGGCACGAGGGCUCUUAUAAGGCAGGGCAUCUCUGGCAGGUGGGGUAAAGCCACUUGCUUGGGCUAUGGGAGAUCAUGAGCAUCUUGUGUAGGCUAUAGGUGACCAGGCAUCUCUUGCAUGGACUAAGGGCAGCAGGGGGCUAAGUAUAAUGUGGUACCUCUUGUGUGAUCUACAGGUGGCAGGGACAGAUUGCAGCAGUUGUCUCAGAGGCCAGAGGGAGGAGUGGCCUGCCACCACUGAGGGCCUGCGAGUGGGCUGCGAGUGGGCUCCACCUGCAGCCCCAGUCACCUCAGGGGUUAGCAAAAAAAAAAAAAAAAAAAAAA
This 3282-nucleotide long non-coding RNA is filed under the name Sus scrofa (pig). RNAcentral's name for it is "lncRNA (ENSSSCG00000053329.1)". The record is from RNAcentral. Lineage: Eukaryota; Metazoa; Chordata; Mammalia; Artiodactyla; Suidae.